GACGAACGCUGGCGGCGUGCUUAACACAUGCAAGUCGAACGGAAAGGCCCUGCUUUUGUGGGGUGCUCGAGUGGCGAACGGGUGAGUAACACGUGAGUAACCUGCCCUUGACUUUGGGAUAACUUCAGGAAACUGGGGCUAAUACCGGAUAGGAGCUCCUGCUGCAUGGUGGGGGUUGGAAAGUUUCGGCGGUUGGGGAUGGACUCGCGGCUUAUCAGCUUGUUGGUGGGGUAGUGGCUUACCAAGGCUUUGACGGGUAGCCGGCCUGAGAGGGUGACCGGACACAUUGGGACUGAGAUACGGCCCAGACUCCUACGGGAGGCAGCAGUGGGGAAUAUUGCACAAUGGGCGGAAGCCUGAUGCAGCAACGCCGCGUGCGGGUUGACGGCCUUCGGGUUGUAAACCGCUUUCGCCUGUGACGAAGCGUGAGUGACGGUAAUGGGUAAAGAAGCACCGGCUAACUACGUG
RNAcentral lists this ribosomal RNA (468 nucleotides) under uncultured bacterium. RNAcentral describes it as "partial 16S ribosomal RNA". It matches the Rfam family "Bacterial small subunit ribosomal RNA", at positions 28 to 507 of the family's 1533-position model. The record is from RNAcentral.